This 576-nucleotide ribosomal RNA is filed under the name uncultured eukaryote. RNAcentral's name for it is "SSU rRNA". It matches the Rfam family "Eukaryotic small subunit ribosomal RNA", at positions 174 to 759 of the family's 1831-position model. The record is from RNAcentral.
UAAAAACCCCGACUUCGGAAGGGGUGUAUUUAUUAGAUACAAAACCAAUGCCCUUCGGGGCUCUUUGGUGAUUCAUGAUAACUAUACGAAUCGCACGGCCUUGCGCCGGCGAUGGUUCAUUCAAAUUUCUUCCCUAUCAACUUUCGAUGUUUGGGUAUCGGCCAAACAUGGUUGCAACGGGUAACGGAGGGUUAGGGCUCGACCCCGGAGAAGGAGCCUGAGAAACGGCUACUACAUCCAAGGAAGGCAGCAGGCGCGCAAAUUACCCAAUCCCGACUCGGGGAGGUAGUGACAAUAAAUACUGAUACAGGGCCCUUUCGGGCCUUGUAAUUGGAAUGAGUACAAUUUAAAUCCCUUAACGAGGAACAAUUGGAGGGCAAGUCUGGUGCCAGCAGCCGCGGUAAUUCCAGCUCCAAUAGCGUAUAUUAAAGUUGUUGUGGUUAAAAGCUCGUAGUUGAACCUUGGGCCUGGCUGGCCGGUCCGCCUCACCGCGUGCACUGGUCCGGCCGGGCCUUUCCCUCUGUGGAACCCCAUACCCUUCACUGGGCGUGGCGGGGAAACAGGACAUUUACUUUG